Aplysia californica (California sea hare) is the source of this 525-nucleotide long non-coding RNA. RefSeq lists it as uncharacterized. The transcript is spliced from 3 exons. The record is from RefSeq and is a predicted model, not a curated record. NCBI's taxonomy places the organism in Eukaryota, Metazoa, Mollusca, Gastropoda, Aplysiida, Aplysiidae.
UCAAAAUUUAAAAAUGAGCCAGGCACAGACUGGUGCACAGACCGUAUUUAUAAAAUCAUUGGACUGGUGUUCGAGAAAAUCUAUUUAUAGAAGCACGUCAUAAACCAGGAAUUCCCGUUCGAAUUUGCUAGGGAAAUUACAUCGAAGCAUCGAAAGUCGUAAGUGGAUCCAUAUCCUUCCUUUGUCCUGUCCAUCCCAGUUCCAGAUUGUUUAAAACAAGAAGACGCUACUCACAAACGACAUUUACAGACUGUUCUACAGGUUUUCAAGAAACAUAGAUCUAGAUCUAGAUCUAGAUCUCUAGAUUUGGACUCUGGAAGUCAAAGACUGAUUCACCGUUCGAAACUGUGCCCAGCUGACAGCAUUAUUUUCUACAUCCAAGGCUUGGACUCGAAAGCGACCCUUGGAGGUUCUAUGGUUCUAUGGACCGAAGAAUCCAUAUAACGAACAUGGGGAAUUUUUUCGGUCUUCCUGAAAAUGACAACAACGACGACAGAGAAAGAAGAGAGGAGAGCAACGGAGGAG